This 568-nucleotide long non-coding RNA is filed under the name Phoenix dactylifera (date palm). RNAcentral describes it as "long non-coding RNA (PDAC_LNC009979)". Lineage: Eukaryota; Viridiplantae; Streptophyta; Magnoliopsida; Arecales; Arecaceae. The record is from RNAcentral.
UGAGUAAGAAGUUAAUUUAUGCAUUAUUUAGAACUUAUCACCUAACAGUUAUUGGUCCCAUUCCUUAGUUAAGUCAGACCCACCAUAUAACCGUAGAAAUAAAGUCGUCAUUGGAUCCUCACCUAACAGUUAUUGGUGCCCAACCCCACCUUUACCCCUACAACAUCUCAUGUCUAUAGAGAGGUCUAGCCCUCCGAUGCAACUUGCCCACUAUGUCCAGCCGAGACAAGUCAACACCAAAAAGACCUUAGCAGCUCUACUACGGUGGAAGACCUAUGGACAUAAUAUUGGUUAAUCAUGUCUUAGUGUUUGCAAUCUUGAGCUCUUCAUAAGAGGUAAUCGAAUAAUUGGCCAGGUAAGUAGGUGGGAGGCUCCCCUUACUCAGAGAGUAAGGUUCUAAUUAAGUAACCACCUUUCAUGCUUUCCUAGACACCAAUUAGAUCAAUUAAUCUAAUAUGACUCGCUCAUGUUGGUUCACUCUCGACUGAUUGAGGAGGUUUUAGUUUAGGUCUCAUUGGGAUUGCUCUACUAGUUUGCAUCAUAUGUAAAUCUAUCUACCCCGCUCACA